RNAcentral lists this long non-coding RNA (22911 nucleotides) under Zea mays. RNAcentral's name for it is "long non-coding RNA (ZMAY_LNC005028)". The record is from RNAcentral. Lineage: Eukaryota; Viridiplantae; Streptophyta; Magnoliopsida; Poales; Poaceae.
UAGCUGGUUCUCGGCGCUAAUAUGGAAAACCUCGAUAUCUCCCUUUUGCUGGUGGUCUCUCAGAAAGUGAUGUCGGAUGUCUAUGUGCUUAGUGCGGUUGUGUUCAACAGGAUUAUCCGCCAUGCGGAUUGCACUCUCAUUGUCACAUAGGAGUGGGACUUUGCUUAGAUUGUAGCCAAAGUCCCGGAGGGUUUGCCUCAUCCAAAGUAGGUGCGCUCAACACUGUCAUGUGGCAACAUACUCGGCCUCAGCGGUGGAUAGGGCAAUGGAGGUUUGUUUCUUUGAACUCCAAGACACCAGGGACCUUCCUAGGAAUUGGCACGUCCCUGAUGUACUCUUCCUAUCAACCUUGCAUCCAGCAUAAUCCGAGUCUGAAUAUCCAAUCAAGUCAAAGGUAGACCCCUUUGGAUACCAGAUCCCGAAGCAAGGCGUAGAGACUAAAUAUCUAAGAAUCCGCUUAACAGCCACAAGGUGGCAUUCCCUUGGGUCGGAUUGAUAUCUAGCACACAUGCAUACGCUAAGCAUAAUAUACGGUCUACUAGCACAUAAAUAAAGCAAUGACCUUAUCAUAGACCAGUAUGCCUUUUGAUCAAUGGACUUACCUCCUUUGUUGAGGUCGACAUGUCCGUCGGUUCCCAUAGGUGUCUUUGCGGGCUUAGUGUCCUUCAUCCCAAACCGCAUGGGAAGAUCUUGAGUGUACUUCGUUUGGGAGAUGAAGGUGCCAUCCUUGAGUUGCUUCACUUGGAACCCAAGGAAGUAGUUCAACUCGCCCAUCAUUGACAUCUCAAAUUUCUGAGUCAUCACCCUGCUAAACUCCUCACAAGACUUUUGAUUAGUAGAACCAAAUAUUAUGUCAUCGACAUAAAUUUGGCACACAAAAAGGUCACCAUUACAAGUCUUAGUGAAAAGAGUGGGAUCAGCUUUCCCAACCUUGAAAGAAUUAGCAAUUAAGAAAUCUCUAAGGCAUUCAUACCAUGCUCUUGGGGCUUGCUUAAGUCCAUAGAGCGCCUUAGAGAGCUUACACACAUGGUGGGGGUACCUGUCAUCCUCAAAGUCAGGGGGUUGUUCCACGUACACCUCCUCCUUUAUUGGCCCGUUGAGAAAAGCGCUCUUCACAUCCAUUUGAAACAACCUAAAAGAGUGGUGAGCGGCAUAGGCUAAUAAUAUUCUAAUAGACUCUAGCCUCGCCAUUGGAGCAAAAGUCUCCUCGAAAUCCAAACCUGCGACUUGGGCAUAACCUUUUUGCUACAAGUCGAGCCUUGUUUCUUGUCACCACUCUAUGCUCGUCUUGCUUGUUGCGGAACACCCACUUGGUUCCCACAACGUUUUGCUUUGGACGUGGCACCAGGCUCCAAACUUCAUUUCUCUUGAAGUUGUUGAGCUGUUCCUGCAUGGCCAACACCCAGUCCGGGUCUUGCAAGGCCUCUUCUACCCUGAAAGGCUCAAUAGAAGAGACAAACGAGUAAUGCUCACAAAAAUUAGCUAAUCUUGAGCGAGUAGUUACUCCCUUGCUUAUGUCACCCAGAAUCUGAUCGACGGGGUGAUUUCUUUGAAUCGUCGCUCGGACUUGAGUUGGAGGGGCCGGUGGUGCUUCUUCCUCCAUAGCUUGUUCUUCUUGUGCUCCCCCUUGAUCACACGCCUCUUCUUGAGGAACCUGUCCAUCAUCUUGAGUAGGGGGAUGCACCAUUAUUGAGGAAGAAGGUUGAUCUUGCUCUUGUUGUUCCUGUGGUCGCACAUCUCCAAUUGCCAUGGUGCGUAUUGCUGCCGUCGGAACAUCAUCUUCAUUUAUGUCAUCAAGAUCAACUUGCUCUCUUGGAGAGCCAUUAGUCUCAUAAAAUACAACAUCGCUAGAGACUUCAACCAAAGCCGAUGAUUUGUUGAAGACUCUAUAUGCCUUUGUAUUUGAGUCAUACCCUAGUAAAAACCCUUCUACAGCUUUGGGAGCAAAUUUUGAAUGUCUACCUUUCUUCGCCAAAAUAUAGCAUUUUCUCCCAAAUACACGAAAGUAAGAGACAUUGGGUUUGUUAUCGGUAAGGAGUUCGUAGGAGGUCUUCUUGAGGAGAUGAUGCAGAUAGAGCCGGUUUAUGGCGUGGCAAGCUGUGUUCACAGCUUCCGACCAAAACCGCUCGAGCAUCUUAAACUCUCCAAGCAUCGUCCUCACCAUGUCGAUAAGUGUCCUGUUCUUCCUCUCUACUACACCAUUUUGCUGUGGUGUGUAGGGAGCGGAGAACUCAUUCUUGACACCUUCCUCCUCAAGAUACUCCUCAACUUGUAAGUUCUUGAACUCGGACCCGUUGUUGCUUCUUAUCUUUUUCACCUUGAGCUCAAAUUCGUUUUGAGCCCUCCUUAGAAAGCGCUUUAGGGUCCCUUGGGUUUCUGAUUUAUCCUGCAAAAAGAACACCCAAGUGAAGCGGGAAAAGUCAUCUACAAUUACAAGACCAUACUUACUUCCUCCGAUGCUAAGGUAGGCGACGGGUCCGAAGAGGUCCAUGUGAAGAAGCUCCAGUGGUCUUGAUGUUGUCAUCACAUUCUUACUGUGAUGAGUGCUUCCCACCAGUUUCCCUGCCUGACAAGUUGCACAAGGUCUGUCUUUCUCGAAGCAGACAUUGGUUAGUCCUAACACAUGUUCUCCCUUUAGAAGUUUAUGAAGGUUCUUCAUCCCGACAUGUGCUAGACGAUGAUGCCACAACCAGCUCAUGCUAGUCUUAGCUAUUAAGCAUGCAUCUAGAUCGACCUCUUCUCUCGAAAAAUCAACUAAGUAGAGUUUGUUGUCUAAUACACCCUUAAACGCUAAUGAACCAUCACUCCUUUCUAAAGACAGAAACAUCUAUAUUUGUAAAUAGACAAUUAUAACCCAUGCUACAUAAUUGACUCACGGACAAUAGGUUGUACCCGAGCGAUUCAACUAAGAACACAUUGGAGAUUGAAUGCUCGGAUGUAAUGGCUAUCUUUCCCAAUCCUUUAACCUUGCCUUGGUUCCCAUCUCCAAAGAUGAUCGAAUCUUGGGAAUCCUUGUUCUUGACGUAGGAGGUAAACAUCUUCUUCUCCCCCGUCAUGUGGUUUGUGCAUCCGCUGUCGAUAAUCCAGCUUGAGCCCCCGGAUGCAUAAACCUGCAAGGUAAUUGACACUUGGGUUUUAGGUACCCAACUCUUGUUGGGUCCUACAAGCUUAGUCACAAUAGCCUUUGGAACCCAAAUACAAGUCUUAUCUCCCUUGCAUUUGGAUCCCAACUUCCUAGCAACUAUUUUUUCAUUCUUACAACAAAUUGCAAAAGAAGUAUUGCAAGCAUGGUAAAUAGUAGAAGGUUCAUUACAUACUUUCCUAGGCACAUGAUGCACAACAUGAUUUCUCCUAGGCUUACUUCUACCAUGCACAAAAGUAGAGCUAGAAGCAAACAUAGCAUGUGAAUUAAACGCAUUAUAACUCCUAUUAUAAUGAGCGUUUCUAGAAAAUUUUCUAUCAUAAAUGUAAGCAUGACAUUUUUUAGAACUACUAGCCAUAGGAGCCUUCUCUUUCUCCUUGUUGAGAACGGGAGUCUUUUGGCUUGUUAAGUUCCUGGUUUCCUUUCGAAAACCAAGUCCAUCCUUAAUAGAGGGGUGUCUACCAAUAGCAUAGGCAUCCCUAGCAAAUUUUUGCUUAUCAAAAUCAACCUUGCAAGUCUUAAGUUGAGCAUUAAGACUUGCCACCUCAUCACUUAAUUUAGUAAUGGACGUAAGAUGUUCAUCACAAGCAUCAAUAUCAAAAUCCUUGCAUCUAUUGCAAAUUACAACAUGUUCUACACAUGAACUAGAUUGAUUAGCUACCUCUAACUUAGCAUUUAAAUCAUCAUUUAAAAUCUUUAACCUAGAGAUAGAUUCAUGGCAAGCAGAUAAUUUAGAAGAUAGCAUCUCAUUUCUCUUAGUUUCUAAAGCAAGAGAUUUUUGCGCACUAACAAAUUUAUCAUGCUCUUCAUACAAAAUAUCCUCUUGCUUUUCUAAAAGUCUAUCCUUUUCAUUUAAAGCAUCAAUUAGUUCAUUAAUCUUUUCUACUUUAGCUCUAUCUAAUCCUUUGAACAAGGUAGAGUAAUCUACUUCAUCAUCACUAGAAUCCUCAUCACUAGAAGUAGAGUACUUGGGGGAAUCUCGAACACUCACCUUCUUUUCCUUGGCCAUAAGGCAGGUGUGGCAUUCGUUGGGGAAGAGCGAAGAUUUGUUGAAGGCCGAGGCUGCCAGUCCUUCAUCGUCGGAGUCGGAUGAAGAGUAGUCAGAAUCCCAUUCUUUACCAAGGUGCGCCUUGCCCUUCGCCUUCUUAUAGACCUUCUUCUUCUCCCUCUUCCCGUGCUUUUCUUGUUCAUGGUCAUCAUCAUUAUCGGGGCAUUGUGCUAUGGAAUGACCAGUGUUACCGCAUUUGAAGCAGGAGCGCUUUCCCCUUGCUUUGUUCUUGUUGGGGUACUCCUUGCGUCCUUUCAAUGCGGUCUUGAAGCGCUUGAUGAUAAGCGCCAUCUCAUCUUCAUUGAGGCCCGCGGCCUCCACUUGUGCCACCUUGCUUGGUAGCUUCUCCCUAUUGCUGGUUGCUUUGAGGGCAAUGGUUUGAGGCUCGUGGACGGGUAGUGGUCCGUUUAGAGCAUCGUCCACAUAUCGAGCCUCUUUUACCAUCAUGCGCCCGCUCACAAACUUCCCAAGAAUCUCCUCGGGCGUCAUCUUGGUGUACCUGGGAUUCUCACGAAUAAGGUUGACAAGAUGAGGGUCAAUUACCAUAAAUGACCUUAGCAUUAGUCGAACGACGUCGUGGUCCGUCCAUCUUGUGCUUCCAUAGCUCCUAAUCUUGUUGACCAGGGUCUUGAGCCUGUUGUAUGUUUGUGUUGGCUCCUCUCCCCUGAUCAUCGCGAAUCUUCCCAGUUCGCCUUCCACCAACUCCAUCUUGGUGAUCAUGGUGGUGUCGUUUCCCUCGUGUGAUAUCUUGAGGGUAUCCCAAAUUUGCUUGGCGUUGUCUAAGUCGCUCACCUUGUUGUAUUCAUCCCUGCACAAAAAUGCUAGCAACACAGUGGUAGCUUGUGCAUUCUUAUGAAUUUGUUCAUUAAUAAACACGGGGUUAUCCGUACUAUCAAAAUGCAUUCCAUUUUCAACUAUCUCCCAAAUACUAUGAUGGAGAUAAAAUAAGUGACUACACAUUUUGUGACUCCAAAAAGAGUAGUCUUUUCCAUCAAAGUGUGGAGGUUUACCAAGAGGAAUUGAAAGCAAGUGAGCAUUGGAAUUAAACGGAAUACGAGAAUAAUCAAAUGAAUAGUUUUGAUUAACCGGUUUCUUUUUAGACGAGUCAUCGUCGUUGUCGUCUCUUGGUGAAGAAGAGGAGGCGUCGUUGUCGUAGUAAAUGAUCUUCUUGAUCUGCCUCUUCUUCUUCCCGUCCCUCUUCUUGUGACUUGAUCCUGAGUCAGUGGGUUGUCGUCCCUUGGCUCGUUGAAGAUGGACUCCUUCUCCUUGUCGUUGACCAUCAUCCCCUUUCCAUUAGGAUCCAUCUCUUCGGGCGAUUAGUCCCUUAGAUGAAGAGAACGGCUCCGAUACCAAUUGAGAGCACCUAGAGGGGGGGGGGGUUGAAUAGGUGAUCCUGUAAAAUUCAACACUAAUAGCCACAAAACUUGUUAUGUAAGUUAGAACGACUAAGUGGCUUGAAGCGAGUUCUUGUGAACACAGAAAAUCAAAGGUAAAGCACACAAGAGACACGCGAUUUUUAUCCUGUGGUUUAGCCAAGUAAUACUUGCCUACUUCCACGUUGUGGCGUCCCAAUGGACGAGGGUUGCACUCAACCCCUUUCAAGUGAUCCAAUGAUCAACUUGAAUACCACAGUUUUUCCUUUCUUUGUCUUUCUCCCGUUUGCGAGGAAUCUCCACAACUUGGAGCCUCUCGCCCUUACAAUGAUGAUCACAAAAGAUGUACGGAAGUAAGGGAGGGAAGAGCAACACACACAAGACUCAAAUCACAGCACAAUCAUGCACACAAGUCACAACUCGAGCUCAAAACACAACCCACGGAGUGCACAACUCAAAUGGAGCUCAAGUCACUAUCUCAAAGAAUCAAAUGCGCGAAGUUGGAGUCUUGGAGGCUUAGAAUGUUUCUUGAAUGCUUGGGUGUCUCCUUCAUGCGCCUAGGGGUCCCUUUUAUAGCCCCAAGGCAGCUAGGAGCCGUUGGAGGCCAAUAAGGAAGGUUAUCCUUGCCUUCUAUCGGGUGGCGCACCGGACAGUCCGGUGUGCCACCGGACAGUCACUGUAGACGGUCCGGUGCGGAUCCCCUUCCUAUUCUGGCACAGACAACCGUUGCAGCGCCGAGCCAGUUGGCGCAUCGGACACUUUCCGGUGCACACCGGACAGUCCGGUGCCCCUGCCGACCGUUGGCGCGGGCCACGCGUCGCCCGCGGAUUGCGCGGCCGACCGUUGCGCUGGCGGCCGUUGGCUCACCGGGCAGUCCGAUGCAGCACCGGACAGUCCGGUGAAUUAUAGCCGUACGCCACCGAUUUUUCCCGAGAGUGGCCUGUUCAUCGGAGGCUGGCCUGGUGCACCGGACACUGUCUGGUGCACCACCGGACAGUCCGAUGUGCCAAGCCGAGCUGGAAUUUGGCUGUACCAAGCCAAGUCUUUUGCAUUUCUUUUCUUCUCUUCUUUUCUCUGUUUCUAGCACUUAGACAAUAUAUGUUAGUACUCAAAACAAUGUACUAAGUCUAGAAACAUACCUUGUUACAUGAUUUGCACUUCUUGCUUGUUUGGCACAUAAUCAACUCACUUAAUAUGUGUUGGGCACUUACUCACCAAAACAUUAUAGAAAUGGCCCAAGGGCACAUUUCCCUUUCACUCUUUUCACUAAGACUUGUGAUGGUGAUCUUUUUGUGUGCCAAAUUUAUGUCGAUGACAUAAUAUUCGGUUCUACUAACCAAAAGUCUUGUGAGGAGUUUAGCAGAAUGAUGACUCAAAAGUUUGAGAUGUCGAUGAUGGGCGAGUUGAACUACUUCCUUGGGUUCCAAGUGAAGCAACUCAAGGACGACACUUUCAUCUCCCAAACGAAGUACACUCAAGAUCUUCUUAAGCGGUUUGGGAUGAAGGACGCCAAGCCCGCGAAGACACCAAUGGGAACCGACGGGCAUGUCGACCUCAACAAAGGGGGUAAGUCCGUUGAUCAAAAGGCAUACCGGUCUAUGAUAGGGUCAUUACUUUAUUUAUGUGCUAGUAGACCGGAUAUUAUGCUUAGCGUAUGCAUGUGUGCUAGAUAUCAAUCUGACUCCAGGGAAUGUCACCUUGUGGCCGUUAAGCGAAUUCUUAGAUAUUUAGUUUCUAUGCCUUGCUUCGAGAUCUGGUAUCCAAAGGGGUCUACCUUUGACUUGAUUGGAUAUUCAGACUCCGAUUAUGCUCGAUGCAAUGUUGAUAGGAAGAGUACAUCAGGGACGUGCCAAUUCCUAGGAAGGUCCCUGGUGUCUUGGAGUUCAAAGAAACAAACCUCUGUUGCUCUAUCCACCGUUGAGGCCGAGUAUGUUGCCGCAGGACAGUGUUGCACGCACCUACUUUGGAUGAGGCAAACCCUCAUGGACUUUGGCUACAAUCUGAGCAAAGUCCCACUCCUAUGUGACAAUGAGAGUGCAAUCCGCAUGGCGGAUAAUCCUGUUGAACACAACCGCACUAAGCACAUAGACAUCCGACAUCACUUUCUGAGAGACCACCAGCAAAAGGGAGAUAUCGAGGUGUACCAUAUUAGCACCAAGAACCAGCUAACUGAUAUCUUCACCAAGCCGUUGGAUGAGAAAACCUUUUGCAGGUUGUGUGGUAAGCUAAAUGUCUUAGAUUCGCGUAACUUGGAUUGAUCUAUAGCAUACAUGUGUUCUAUGCCUUUGAUCAUGUUACUUUAUGCAUUUAUAUGAUUUGUUGCUUAUUUAUGGUGCUCAAGUUGUGCAAGGGAUCCCUGGACCUCAUAAGUCCAUGUGUGAAUGAUGCAUAUAUUUAGGGGGAGAAGUGCUAUAACUUGACCCUUUGAGACUAACCUUUGUGUUUGAGUAUACUUGAUAUAGUCUCAAAGGUGCAUUGAAAGGGAAAGGUGAACUUGGACCAUGCAAAGACUUUCACUGCACUCUGGUAUUUGUGUACUCACCUCCAAGUUCAUACUUAAGCUCUCAUUGCCACUUUGCUCUUAAUUGACAUUUUUGGUGAGGCAAUGGGGUUAAGAGGCCAAGAAUGAUCCUGUUUUGGUGCUUAAUGCCAAAGAGAGAGAAAUUAAGGCCAAAGCAAAUGGAUCAGCUACCACUUGUGAAUUUUGAAAAAAAUAAAGUUAGAACUUUUGAUUUGUCCAAAAUACUCUUAUUGCAAAAUUUGGUCUCUUGUGGGGGAGAAUUUUGAUUAUGGGAAAAGGGGGAGUUUUUGGCACUUGAUCAAUUUCACUCUUGGAAUAUUUCUCUUUGUGCCCAAACAAGUGAGUUUGACUUAGAGAAAGGAAAAUGAAUUUGAUUUGCAAAAACAAACCAAGUGGUGGCAAAAAAUGAUCCAAAUAUGCCAAAUUAGAGUCGAAUACAAUUUGGUCCUCAUUUGCAUUGAUGUUGCACUUAUUUUGGUUGCUUUUUGAUGUGUUGGCAUAAAUCACCAAAAAGAGGGAGAUUGAAAGGGAAAUGUGCCCUUGGGCCAUUUCUAUAAUAUUUUGGUGAUUAAGUGUCCAAUACAUAGUAAGUGAUUAGCUAUGUGCCAAACAAACAAGAAGUGCAAAUCAUGUAACAAGUAGGGCUGGAUGAAAUACUCGUGGCUCGUUGGCUCGCUCGGCUCGUAGCCUGCUCAGCUCAGCUCGGAUCGGAUCGUUUAAAUUUUUACACGAGCUGAGCCAGCGUCUCAGCUUGGUUUCUUAACGAGCCAGCUCGAGCUGAGCUCGAGCCAGCUCGCGAGCUAACCGAGCUACCACAUUGCAGCAUACCGAUUCGGGCCGGCCUUUCACAGUUUCACUUCUUUGGCCCAUCAGCUGUAAGCCCAGGCCCAGCGCUCACCGCUCAAACAGGCAAACGGCCACGGGCCAUCGCUCUAGGCUCCAAUCUAGCACUCCAGCGUCAGCCGCUCCCACAGUCCCGCUCAGCCACGCCCGCGCGCAAACCAUAGUCGGUGUCUUGGCGAUGGCCGACGGCGGCUCGGCGGUGAUGGCUCGGCGCUCCAAGCCUCCACUCGUCUCCACCGACCACCGGUCAGCGGUCCAGGCUGCGCCGCGGCGCAGCGUUAGCGGGCAGCGGCCAACCGGCCACCGGCAUCACGCGCGGCCGCGCGCCCAAACGGCCACUUCUCCAAGCUCCAGUCCAGCUCCAGCACUCCAGCGUCAGCACUCAGCCGCUCUCGUAGUCCCGCAUAGUCGCGCCCGCACGCAAACCCUAGUUGGUGUCUCGGCGACGGCCGACGGUGACUCGGCGGAUCGGUGCUCCAAGCCUCCACUCGUCUCCACCGACCACCGGUCAGCGGUCCAGGUAGCGCCGCGGCACAGCGCCAGCGGGCAACGGCCAACCGGGCACCGGCAUCACGUGCGGCCGCACGCCCAAACGGCCACCGCUCCAUGCUCCAACAAUUCAGCAUCACUGGCUCACUGCGUCUGCGUCUCAGCGUCUACGUCAGGAUCCAGCGUCACUGCGUCUACGACUGUGUCAGGCUCAGCAUCGAUAUCCAGCCCUAUGGAGGAGAACACUCCAUUGCCAGCAAGUUUGGGGUCUCGAUCUCGAAUUCGAACCAAGCAACUCACAAAGAAGCCACCCAUUUCGAUGCAGAAGAUGUCUGCAGCGACAACAUCAUCGGCGUCCGGCAAUCGGUCUAAUGUUUCUAUAUCUGUGGUGAGUAUCCAAAACUUCAAAUGCUAAGCUUUUGUUGUCUUCACAUUCUUUGUUGUAUGCUAGAUUGUAAUGUUGGAUUGAAAUGCAGGAACCAACAACUAAUUCUAGAGAGGAGGAAGACAAGGAGGAGGACAAUAGCCUCGACAUGGAGGAUGAUUUCUCUCUAAGCCUAUCUUCAGAGGAUGGUGGGAGCCAGGGUGAAGAUGAGGUUCAGGUGGCACAAGUUCAUAAUGCAAAGAGAGGAGUCAAAAAGGCAAAGGGUGAUGUUCCAUUAUCUCCUUCAAAGUGUAAGGUCAAGAGGGUGAAGCGAGCCGAUUGCUGGAAGUAUUUUAAGGUGGUCGAAGUUCAAUCAAAGAAGAAGUUUGGGGAAAUGGUGACGAAGGCCAAGUGCAAGUUUUGUUACAAACUGUAUGUGUAUCAACCUGGGGGGUCCAACAUCACAGCUGAAUCGACAUCUGGAUAAGUGCACUGCCUACCAGAACAAGUUGGCCAAUGCAAAAUCAAAGGUUGCUCAAGGUACUAUCAGCUUCGCUCUUGAUGAUGGUUCUCUUGUUGUUAAUCCCAGUGAAUAUGAUCGUGAUCACACUAGAAAUUUGAUUGCUAAGAUGAUUAUUGUUCAUGAGUAUUCACUUCGAAUGGUAGAGCACAGAUGGUUUAAUAUCUUGAUGAAAUGGAUGAAUAACAGCUAUGAAAGUAUUGGUAGAAAGACUAUAAAAAACGAGUGCAUGAAAGUGUAUGAAUCUGAAAAGGACCUUCUAAAGAAAACUCUUAGAAAGGUUGAAUCCAUAAGUUUGACUACCGAUCUGUGGACAUCUAACCAAAAUGUCCAAUACAUGAGUUUGGUUGCACACUACAUAGAUGUAAAUUGGGAAUUGCAAUGUCGUGUACUAAACUUUGUGGAGUUGGAUCCUCCCCACACUGGUGUAGUGAUAGCUCAAGCUAUUUUAGAGUGCCUGGUUGAAUGAAAAAUUGAAGAUAAAGUUAUCACAAUCACACUUGACAAUGCUUCAAAUAAUGAUGUUGCCAUCACCAAUUUGACAUCCAAGCUUCUUGCUAGAAGGAAGAUGUGCUAAUGGUGGAUGCUAGCCUUUUGGUUUUGGUGGCAUGUUGUUGUCUAGUCUAGUUGACUUGCUGUGCACUUUGUACAUGUCCUGCACUCCUGCUAAGCUGCUAGGGCAGUAGACAGUAGUGCACUAGUCAGUAGUGCCAUCCUUUUGGUGGUUAAGUGGUUAGUGGUUAGUUAGUUGUAAAUUCUAGUGGUUAACUGGUUGUAAGUUCUGGUAGGGCUGGAUAUCGAGCCAGCUUGGCUCGGCUCGGCUCGGCUCGUUAAACAACCGAGCCAGAAGAGCAGCUCGGCUCGGCUCGUUAACGAGCUCGAGCUGGCUCGUUUGGCUCACGAGCCACAGCAAAAAAAUCUGCUGCACUCACCCGUCACACACACACACACACAUAUAUAUAUAUAUAUAUAUAUAUAUAUAUAUAUAUAUAUAUAUAUACUGAUGUACACAAAUACAAAAACAAUUUAACACUAGAAAAUAGUUCAAAAGUGACAACACAAAUCACAUUUCAUAAUCAGGAAUUCAGCCUGCAACAUUCAUGAUUCAUCAGUUCACAAAUCACAACAUUCAUCAGUUCAUGGCUUCAAGCAUCACAGUUCACAACAUUAGAAUUUACAACCAACCAGGCAACCACUAACCAUGCUCCAUGCAUCUGUGAUCAGUCCAUGGCUUCAUGCAUCACACGAUCACAACAUUAAUUCAUGGCUUAAUUUACAAAAGUAGCCACCACACCAGAACUUACAAGGUACGUUUUUAGACUUAGUACAUUGUUUUGAGUACUAACAUAUUUUGUCUAAGUACUAGAAACAGGGAGAAAAGAAUUGGAAAAAGACUUGGCUCUGCGCAGCCAAUUCUCAGCUCAGUCUGGCACACCGGACAGUGUCCGGUGGUGCACCGGAUAGUGUCCGGUGCGCCAGGCUGGUCUCGGGAAAAGUUUGGUGGCGUACGGCUAUAAUUCACCGGACUGUCCGGUGGUACACCGGACUGUCCGGUGAGCCAACGGUCGCCAGCGCAACGGUCGGCCGCGCAAUCCGCGAGCGACGCGUGGCCCGCACCAACGGUCGGCAGGGGGCAUCGGACUGUCCGGUGUGCACCGGACAGUGUUUGGUGCGCCAACGGGCCCGAAGCUGCAACGGUCGGGUGAGCCAGAAAAGAAAGGAGAUCGUGCACCAGACAGCUACAAUGAUUGUCCAGUGGUGCACCGGACUGUCCGGUGCACCACCCAACAAAAGGCAAGUUUGGCCUUCCUUGUUGGCCUCCAACGGCUCCUAGCUGCCUUGGGGCUAUGAAAGGGACCCCUAGGCGCAUGGAGGAGCUACACAAGCAUUCACUAAGCAUCCUAAGGCAUCCAGACUCUGUUCUCGCGCAUUCAUUUCGUUGUGUUAGAGAUUUGAGCUCUAUUCGAGUCAAGGACUCCUUAUGUUGUCAUUUGAGCUCAAGUCUUCUCUUGUGUGCGUGGGUGUGCUGCGAUUUGUGUCUUGUGUGUGUUGCUCAUCCCAACCUUACUCUGUGCUUUCAUUGUGAUAUUUGUUGUAAGGGCGAGAGACUCCAAUCUUGUGGAGAUUCCUCGCAAACAGGAAUAAUCAUCUAAAGGAAAAACCGUGGUAUUCAAGUUGAUCAUCGGAUCACUUGAAAGGGGUUGAGUGUAACUCUCGUCCAUUGGUACGCCACAACGUGGAAGUAGGCAAGUGUUACUUGGCCGAACCACGAGAUAAAAAUCGUGUGUCUUGUGUUGAUCUCUCUGUGAUUAUUUGUGUUCACAAGAACUCGCUUCAAGUUAUUUAGCCGUACUAACACUCAUAACUAAGUUUUGUGGCUAUUAGUGUUUGAAUUUUACAAGAUCACCUAUUCACCCCCCCUCUAGGUGCUCUCAUGUCGAGGUCGAGAUGGGCUUGGCAUCCUUCAUUCCAAACUUAUUGAGUAUGUCUUGAAUAUACUUGGUUUGGCUAAUGAAGGUGCCCUCUUGGAGUUGCUUGACUUGAAAUCCUAGGAAAUACUUCAACUCCCCCAUCAUAGACAUCUCGAAUUUUUGAAUCAUGAUCCUACUAAACUCUUCACAAGUAGAUUUGUUAGUAGACCCAAAUAUGAUAUCAUCAACAUAAAUUUGGCAUACAAACAAAUCUUUUGCAAUAGUUUUAGUAAAGAGUGUAGGAUCGGCUUUACCGACUUUGAAUCCAUUAGUGAUAAGGAAAUCUCUUAGGCAUUCAUACCAUGCUCUUGGGGUUUGCUUGAGCCCAUAAAGCGUCUUUGAGAGUUUACAGACAUGGUUAGGGUACUCACUAUCCUCAAAGCCGGGAGGUUGCUCAACAUAGACCUCUUCCUUGAUUGGUCCAUUGAGGAAGGCACUUUUCACGUCCAUUAGAUAGAGCUUAAAGCCAUGGUAAGUAGCAUAGGCAAGUAAUAUGCGAAUUGACUCAAGCCUGGCUACGGGUGCAUAGGUUUCACCGAAAUCCAAACCUUCGACUUGUGAAUAUCCUUUGGCUACAAGUCGGGCUUUGUUCCUUGUCACCACACCAUGCUCGUCUUGCUUGUUGCGGAAUACCCAUUUGGUACCUAAAACAUUUUGAUUAGGACGUGGAACUAAAUGCCAUACCUCAUUCCUCGUGAAGUUGUUGAGCUCCUCUUGCAUGCCAACACCCAAUCUGAAUCUCUUAGUGCAUCCUCCACCAUGUAUGGCUCAAUAGAGGACACAAAAGAGUAAUGUUCACAAAAAUGAGUGACUCGAGAUCGAGUUGUUACCCCCUUAUGAAUGUCACCGAGAAUUGAGUUCAUGGGGUGAACUCUUUGAAUCGCUUGGUGGACUCUUGGGUGUGGCGGUCUUUGACCCUGUAUCUCUUGAUCAUCUUCCAUGUCUUGCUCAACUUCAUCUCCCCCUUGAUCGUUGUCCUCCUCUUGAGGUGGCUCAUCCUCUUGAUCUUCAUUUUCAUCAUUUUGAGCCUGAUCCUCAUCUUGGGUUGGUGGAGAUGUUUGCAUGAAAGAUGAUGGUUGAUCUUGUGCUUGUGUGCACUUCGGAUUCCUUAGGACACACAUCCCCAAUGGACAUGUUCCUUAGCGCGACGCAUGGAGCCUCUUCAUCAUCUAAUUCAUCAAGAUCAACUUGCUCCACUUGGGAGCCAUUAGUCUCAUCAAACACAAUGUCACAAGAAAUCUCAACUAAUUCAGAGGAUUUGUUGAAGACUCUAUAUGCCCUUGUGUUUGAGUCAUAUCCUAGUAAAAAGCCUUCUACAACCUUAGGAGCAAAUUUAGAUUUUCUACCUCUUUUAACAAGAAUAAAACAUUUGCUACCAAAGUCUCUAAAAUAUGAAACAUUGACCUUUUUACCGGUGAGGAGUUCAUAAGAUGUCUUCUUGAGGAUUCGGUGAAGGUAGAGCCGGUUGAUGGAGUAGCAGGCGGUGUUAAUCGCCUCAGCCCAAAACCGGUCCGGAGUCUUGUACUCAUCAAGCAUGGUCCUUGCCAUGUCCAGUAGAGUUCUAUUCUUCCUCUCCACUACACCAUUUUGUUGAGGUGUGUAGGGAGAAGAGAACUCAUGCUUGAUGCCCUCAUCCUCAAGAAAGCCUUCUAUUUGUGAGUUCUUGAACUCUGUCCCAUUGUCCCAUCCUCAAGCAAGCAUUUAAUUCAUGAAUCUUAGUAUAUAAAAUAGCAUUCUCUUUUCUAAGAUUGGAAAUAGAAACAUUGCAAACAUCCAAGUCUUUAGCCUUUGAAAUUAAACUAGCAUUUUCAAGUUUAAGGCUAGAAAUUGAUUCAUUCAAUUUAUCAAUCUUAGCAAUCAAACUAUCAAUUUCAUUUCUAAGAUUGGCAAUUGAAUCAUGGCAAUCAUUUGAUUUUUCAACCUUAGCAAUUAAAUUACAAUUCUCAGUUCUAAGGUUGAAGAUAGUGUCAUGGAAAAUGCUAAGCUCUUUAGUCAAGUUUUCACAUUUCUCUAUCUCCUAAGCAUAAGCAUUUUUCACCUUAACAUGUUUUUUAGUUUCCUUAAUAAGGAAUUCCUCUUGGCUAUCCAAGAGUUCAUCCUUCUCAUGAAUAGCACCUAUUAAUUCAUUUAAUUUUUCUUUUUGUUGCAUGUUAAGGUUGGCAAAAAGACUAAGCAAGUUAUCUUCAUCAUCACUAGAACUACCAUCAUCACUAGAUGUAGUAUACUAGGGGGUGGUUCUAGCUUGUACCUUCUUUUUCUUGUCGUCCUUUGCCAUGAGGCACUUGUGGUCGACAUUGGGGAAGAGAAGUCCCUUGUUGCCGGCGAUGUUGGCGGCGUCCUCGUCGGAGGAGGAGUCGGUGGAGCUCAUGUCCGAGUCCCAUUCCUAACAUAUGUGGGCAUCGCCGCCCUUCUUCUUGUAGUACUUCUUCUUUUCCUUUCUCUUUCCCCUCUUGUCGUCACCCCUGUCACUAUCACUUGACAUAGGACAUUUAGCAAUGAAAUGACUGGGCUUACCACACUUGUAGCACACCGUUUUGGAGCGGGGUUUGUAGUCCUUCCCCCUCCUUUGCUUGAGGAUUUGGUGGAAGCUCUUGAUAAUGAGUGUCAUCUCCUCGUUGUCGAGCUUAGAGGCAUCGAUGGGGAGCCUACUUGAUGUAGACUAUUCUUUCUUCUCCUCCAUCGCUUUGAAUGCGACGGGUUGCACCUCGGGUGUGGAAGUGUCACCUUGCUCCAAGUUGAUGAUUUGUUUGGAGCCUUUGAUCAUCAAUUCAAAGCUCACAAACUUUCCUAUCACUUCCUCCGGAGACAUUAAUUUGUAUCUAGGAUCCCCAUGAAUUAAUUGUACUUGAGUAGGAUUGCGAAAAACAAGGGAUCUUAGAAUAACCUUGACCAUCUCAUGGUCAUCCCAUUUUGUGCUCCCGAGGUUGCGCACUUGGUUGACCAAGGUCUUGAGCCGGUUGUACAUUGCUUGUGGCUCCUCUCCUUGGUUGAGGAUGAAUCGACCAAGUUCCCCCUCGAUCGUCUCCCGCUUGGUGAUCUUGGUCACCUCAUCCCCUUCGUGCGCGGUCUUUAGUACAUCCCAAAUCUCUUUGGCACUUUUUAGCCCUUGCACCUUAUUAUAGUCCUCUCGACAUAGAGAGGCGAGGAGUAUAGUGGUGGCUUGGGAGUCAAAAUGCCGGAUUUGGGCGACCUUGUCCGAAUCAUAUCCUUCAUCCCCUACGGAUGGUACCUGCGUUCCAAACUCAACAAUAUCCCAUAUGCUUGCGUGGAGUGAGGUUAGAUGAUGCCUCAUUUUAUCACUCCACAUACAAUAAUCUUCACCAUAAAAAACCAGUGGUUUGCCUAAUGGGACGGAAAGUAAAGGAGUGUGUUUAGAAAUGCGAGGAUAGCGUAGGGGGAUCUUACUAAACUUCUUGCGCUCAUGGCGCUUAGAAGUAACAGACGGCGCGUCGGAGCCGGAGGUGGAUGGCGACGAAGAAUCGGUCUCGUAGUAGACCACUUUCUCCAUUUUCUUCCUCUUGUCGCCACUCCAAUGCGACUUGACGCGGGGAGGUGAUUUCUCCCUUCCUUUGGCACCGGACUCCCUUGAUGGAGCCUUCCCGUGGCUUGUGGCUGUUUCCAUCUCCCUCUUGGCGUGAUCUCCCGACAUUACUUCGAGUUUUUAAACUCUAAUGAAGUAUCGGGCUCUGAUACCAAUUGAAAGUCGCCUAGAGGGGGGUGGAUAGGCGGAAACUGAAAUUUACAAACUUAAAGCACACUACAAGCCGAGGUUAGCGUUAGAAUAAAAAUCGAGUCCGAGAGAGAGGGGGAAAACAAAUCAACCAAGAAAUAAAGCAGAUGACACGGUGAUUUGUUUUACCGAGGUUCGGUUCCAAAGAACCUAGUCCCCAUUGAGGUGGUCACAAAGACCGGGUCUCUUUCAACCCUUUCCCUCUCUCAAACGGUCACUUAGACCGAGUGAGUUUCUUCCUUGAUUUCUCGGGUCACUUAGACCCCGCAAGGACCACCACACAAUUUGUGUCUCUUGCUUCGCUUACAAGGCUUUGAGAGUAAGAAUGAGAGAAAGAAGAAAGCCAACCAAGCAACAAGAGCAACAAAGAACAUAAGACGAUCUUCUCACAAGUCCUAAAAUACUAGAGUUGAAUUGUGGACUUUGAUUGGAUCGAAGGCUUUGAUUUGUGUCUUGGAGUGUUGUAUUUUGCUCUUGUAUUUAAUGAGGAGUAGUGAAUGCUUGGAUGGUUGGAGUGGAGAUGGUUGGGGGGUAUUUAUAGCCCUCAACCACCAAUUCAACCGUUGGGGCAGGCUGUUGUCGACGGGCGCACCGGACAGUCCGGUGCGCCAGCCACGUCACCCAACCGUUAGGGUUCUGACGGUUUCGACCGUUGGAGCUUUGUCUUCAUGUGGCACCGGACAGUCCGGUGCCGCACCGGACAGCUACUGUUCACUGUCCGGUGCGCCUCUGGCGACUGCUCUGACUUCUGCGCGCACUGUUCUUCACUGUUCACGUUGCAGGCGACCGUUGGAGUCAACCGUUGCGCUGGCUAGCCGUUGCUCCGCUGGCACACCGGACAGUCUGGUGAAUUAUAGCGAAGCGCGGCCUCAGAAACCCGAAGGUGAAGAGUUGGAGUCGAUCGCCCCUGGUGCACCGGACACUAUCCGAUGGUGCACCGGACAUUGUCCGGUGCGCCAGACCAGGGUUCUCUUCGGUUUCUUUUGCUCCUUUCUUUUGAAAUCCUAACUUGAUCUUUUUAUUGGUUUGUUUUGAACCUUUAGCACCUAUAGAAUAUAUGAUCUAGAGCAAACUAGUUAGUCCAAUUAUUUGUGUUGGGCAUUCAACCACCAAAAUCAUUUAUAGGAAAAGGUUAAACCCUAUUUCCCUUUCAAUAACUCAUCCAUAUACGUGGACACGGACUAUUCUAAUAAAUUUUGAACUCUGCACAGAGGUGUGCUCUCUAUCCACUAGUCCGGUUUCUGCAAUUUCAACGUCAUGAGUUUCGAAUACCGAAACUCUCUCCUCCCUUGCACGGCUUUGCCUUAACGGUUAUACCAAAAGGAACAAGGUAACCUCCUCACCCAAACCAGGAUGUAAUUAUUCCCCCACCUUGUCCUUUCGGUGCUCCCUAGCCACCGAUAAGCCAGGGGUGCAGACUGUGCAAGUUCAGAUUAAGCGACUGUCCAUACAGUCCCGAGUGGUUGUACUUGAUAAGAGUUUAGGUAAGGAGUGAUGACAAGCCGGUCCUUAUGCGAGACGGGACAAUCAUUCAUGCUCACACCUAACCCGGCUGAGCCAACUUCUUAGGGCCCUCCCAAACCAGGGAGUCCUGAUCAUCCCGCUCAUGGUGGUGACAGAGAUAAAUGUUCACCCUUUUUUUGAAAACAAGUUUCUUUUAAAAAAACUCACACCUUUUAUCAAAUCAUUUUGUAAUAAAAAUGUCAAGGAGUAUAAAAAAUUUUUGCGACAAAGUUCUAAGGUUGGGUGGCCAUAUUAACAUGUCUCUUAGUAGCAAAAUAAUGUAAUGCAUAAAAUAACAGGCUGAGUGAUGUGUUUGAAAGCAUAGAUAAUUUAUACAUCAAAGAGAUCUAGUGGGUUUGUCGUGCCUUAACUAGCGAAAGGGUGAGAGCUUGUUGUACUAGCUUCUGGCUUCACCGACUGGCAUGGACUUGCGGAACUGGCAUUCAUGGGACAUCACGAACGCUCCGAUAACUAUGCAGCAAGAAUAAGCAAACAUACAAACCAGCAAGUAUAUCAACUAAAAUUCUUUAUAGUGGUCAGGAAUGGUGGUGGAUGGGUGAAUAUAGAUUUGAGUAGAGUUUGUAUUGAUGGAGUAGAGAUGCUUACCCGACAUGCAUUUAGAUCGGCAUCCUCUUCAAUGAAAUCAAUUAAAUAAAGCUUAUCGUCUAAUACACCUUUAAAAGCUAAUGUACCAUCACUUAUUCUAAAGACAGAUACAUCAAUAUUUGUAAAGAAACAAUUACAGCUCAUAUGACAUAAUUGACUUAUAGAAAGCAAAAUGUAACCAAGCGAUUCUACUAAGAAAACAUUAGAUAUUGAAUGCUCAGUAAUGAUGGCUAUUUUACCCAAACCUUUGAGCUUGCCAUGAUUCCCGUCUCCAAAGACAAUCGUAUCUUGGGAAUCCUUGUUUUUGACGUAGGAGGUGAACAUCUUCUUCUCCCCCAUCAUAUGGUUUGUGCAUCCACUGUCAAUAAUCCAACUUGUGCCUCCGGAUGCAUAAACCUGCAAGGUGAUUUAAGCCUGGGAUUUAGGUACCCAACUCUUGUUGGGUCCUACAAGGUUAGUCACAUAAGACUUUGGAACCAAAAUACAAGUUUUGCCUCUCUUGCACUUAGGCCCCACAUUUCUAGCAAUAACUUUUUCAUUUUUACACAUAAGCACAAAUGAAGCAUCAUAAGUAUGAUAAAACAUAGUUGGACCAUUAGAUGCAUUCCUAGGCGCAUGGGAAACAACAUGAUGAGUAUGGCGCCUAGGUCUACUCCUACCAUGAACAUACAAAGAGGUAGAGGAUGCAAACAUGGCAUGUGAAUCAAAGGCAGCAUCAUGACGUACAGGUAAAACAACAUGAUUAUAACAACCAUCAUGAUGAGCAGCAUUAGUGGCAUUCUUAACAUGAGCAUACAAAUAGGCAUGGUUCUUUUUGUCAUGAAAAGAAUGAGAACUACUAGCCAUAGGUGCCUUCCCUUUCUCCUUGAUGAGAUUGGAGGCCCUUUGGCUUAAGUUCUUGGUCCCCUUUUGGAAACCAAGUCCAUCCUUAAUGGAGGGAUGUCUACCAAUGGUGUAGGCAUCCCUUGCAAAUUUUAUUUCAUCACACUCAUUCUUGCAAGUUUUAAGUUGGGCAUUAAGGUUUGCAAUUUCAUCAUUCAACUUAGAGAUAGUGGAAGCAUGAGUAUUGCAAGCAUCAAUAUCAAUUUCUUUACAUCUAUUGCAAAUAGAAACAUGAUCCAUAGAUGAACUAGCAACAUUUACUUUUUCUAGCUUAGCAUUUAAAUUGUUAAGACUAGAAAUAGAAUCACGACAAGACGAUAACUCAGAAGAAAGUAAUUCAUUUUUCUUAAUUUCAACAGCUAGAGAUUUUUCAGCAUUAAUACACUUAUCAUGUUCUUCAUAUAGAAUAUCGUAUUGUUUCUCUAGCAAUCUAUCCUUCUCAUUAAGGGCAUCAAUUACUUCAUUGAUUUUAUCUACUUUAGAUCUAUCUAAACCUUUAAAGAUAUCGCUAUAGUCUACAUCAUCAUCAUAUUCCUCAUCACUAGAAGAAGUGUACUUAGGGGUAUCUCGAGUACGUACCUUCUUCUCCUUAGCCAUGAGGCAUGUGUGAUGCUCGUUGGGGAAGAGGAAGGACUUGUCGAAGGCUGAGGCAGCAAGUCCCUUAUCGUCGGAGUCGGAUGAAGAGCAAUCUGAGUCCCACUCUUUGCCAAUGUGCGCCUCGCUCUUCGUCUUCCUGUAGUUCAUUGAUAAGUACGGGAUUAUCACUACUAUCAAAUGCAUUCCAUUUUCCACUAUCUCCCAAAUACUAGGAUGGGGAGAAAAUAAACAUUUUAUGACUCUAGAAAGAAUAAUCUUCUCCAUCAAAGUGGGGGGGUUUCCAAGUGGAAUAGACAAUAAAUGUGCAUUCGAAUUAUAAGGGAUGUGUGAAUAAUCAAAAGAAUAGUUUUGAUUAAUCGUUUUUUUUCGAUGAAGAGUCUUCGUCGUCGUCAUCCAUUGGUGAAGAAGAAGAGGUGUUGUUGUCGUAGUAGAUGUUCUUCUUGAUGCGCCUCUUCUUUCUAUCCUUCCUUUUGUUGGUUGAGUCUGAGUCGGUGGGCUUGUCACCUUUUGGCUCAUCAAAAUAGAGAGUCUCCUUCUCCUUCUCCUUGUCGUUGAUCACCAUCCCCUUGCCCUUAGGAUCCAUCUCUUCGGGUGGUUAGUCCCUUGAUGAAGAGAACAACUCUAAUAUCAAUUGAGAGCACCUAGAGGGGGUGAAUAUGUGAUCCUGUAAAAAACAGCUCAACAAAACAAACUUGGACUAAUAUUGAAUUAGUGGAAGCAAGAGCCAAGUUCGAAUGAGGAUUAUGAGCGGAGUAAACUUCUUCACUUAAUUGCUCUUCACUAUGUGAGCAUUAAACUUAGAGCAAUAAUGUAAGUGAAGUGGAUAGAGAGAAAAUCGCAGUAGGAUAAGGAUACGUGACACAACGAUUUUUAUCUCGUGGUUCGGUCAAGUAGAAUACUUGCCUACUCCACGUUGUGGCGUCCCAACGGACGAGGGUUGCACUCAACCCCUUUCAAGUGAUCCAAAGGUCAACUUGAAUGCCACGGUUCUGUUUAUCUCAACAAUACCCCAUUGUGAGUUAUCUCCACAAUUUGGAGUCUCUCACGCCUAACACAAAUGAUCUCAAAUAAACACAAGAGUAAGGGGGAAUAGAAACACACACAAGAGCGAGAGUUGCAGCAGCAACACACACACAAGACAAGAAAGAGCACACGAAACAACACAGCGGAGUUACAGCUCAAAGAAGUGCUCAAAUCUAUAUCACAAUGAAACGAAUGCGUGUUUGCGGAUUCUCGGCAUUGUAAGAUGUUUAAUGGGUGCUUGGUGUAAUGCUCCAUAUGCCUAGGGGUCCCUUUUAUAGCCCCAAGGCAGCUAGGAGCCGUUGGCGUCCCAUUUGUAAGGCCCUGGUUGCCUUCUAUCCGUGGACGCAGUCUGGUGCACCACCGGACAAUGAACAGUGUGUGAUUUCCUUCCUUAUUUGGCAAGACGACCAUUGUCAGCCACUGGUCCCACGGCGCAUCGGACAGGCUGGUGUCACACCAGACAGUCCAGUGUUGCAUGUUGACCGUUGGCUGAGCCACGUGUCGCCCGCUGAUCGCGCGGUCGAUCGUUAGCAGGGCGCGUGGCUGGCACAUCGGAUAGUCCGGUGCACAAUCAUGUCUUGUUUCAUCUCGUUUUCAUGUGCUUUUCCUAAAUAUAGGAUCUCCGACAGGGGGAGUAUAUCUUCUUUCAUACAAAAGGGGAGAAUAUUCUUUCAAAGGGGGUGAGCUCUCUUUUAGGGGGAGUAAUCAUUUUAGAGGGCAAGUCUUUGAUUGCUUCCUAUAUGAUUUUAAUGUCUUCCUUUUGGUGUUUGAUUCCAAAGGGGGCGAAGUUUUAGGGACCAAAGCAAAUUCAAAAUAUAUCAAAUAUCAAACACCACCCAAUUUAAAAUUUAAAAACUUGAGCUUACAAGCAGUUUUGGUUCUACAAGUGUUUUUGGUCUAAAAUAGGAAGUAUGUGGAUUAUGGUGUUAGGGGAGGCUUAAGCCCAUAAUGUCACGUUGUGGGGACAUUCAUGCAUCCUAGCAAGUAGAUUGCAUAUUUUUAUCAAAAUAUUUUUUAUAUUUGCUUGCUUUGGUUGUGUUGUCAUCAAUCACAAAAAGGGGGUUGUAAGGAAAAUGGACCUCGACCCAUUUAACUAAAUGAUUUUGGUGGUUGAUGAUCAACAUAAUCUGUUGACUAAUGUGUCUGCUAGUUUUUAUAUUUGUAGUUCAUAGGAUGUUAAAGUGACUUGGACUAAGGCACUGAGGAAGCAACACCUCAAAAGAAGAUAUUAUGAAACCAUAUGUGAAGAUCAAAAAGUAUCAAGCAAAGUCCAAGACAUGAAGAGAGUGUAGCCACUCGCGAACCAUCUGUCCAAGUGCAGCGGAUUGUCCGAUGGCUCACCGGAUAGUCCGGUCCACCCGGUGGACUAUCCGGUGCACCAAGAAAUAGUAGUCCAACACCUAGUUCCUGGUGGCACAGUGGAGGAAAGCCACUGAAUUGUACGGUGCACCACCGGACUGUCCGGUGUGUUGCAGAGAGCAGUAGCUUUUCUGCAAUGGCUAUAUUCGAGUUGGGACCUAUAUAUAUUUCACCCAACCGGCCAUUUGAAGGGGUGGCAGUCCAAGCAACUGCUUGGGAGUCCUUGCAAUUUGAAUAAACCAAGAUCUUACCAUGACUGCAAUUUUAGAGAGACGCGAAAGUACAAGCCUGUGGGGUCGCUUCUGCAACUGGAUAACUAGCACCGAAAACUGUAUUUACAUUGGAUGGUUCGGUGUUUUGAUGAUCCCUACCUUAUUGACCGCAACUUCCGUAUUUAUUAUCGCCUUCCAACACAUGUUAUAGACAUUUCCAAGUGCUCA